RNAcentral lists this ribosomal RNA (272 nucleotides) under uncultured bacterium. RNAcentral describes it as "partial 16S ribosomal RNA". It matches the Rfam family "Bacterial small subunit ribosomal RNA", at positions 727 to 997 of the family's 1533-position model. The record is from RNAcentral.
UACUGGGCACUAACUGACGCUGAGGCUCGAAAGCAUGGGUAGCAAACAGGAUUAGAUACCCUGGUAGUCCAUGCCGUAAACGAUGAUUACUAGGUGUGGGGGAGUGUACCCCUCCCGUGCCGCAGUUAACACAAUAAGUAAUACCACCUCGGGAGUACGACCGCAAGGUUGAAACUCAAAGGAAUUAGACGGGGCCGGCACAAGCAGUGGAGUAUGUGGUUUAAUUCGAAGCAACGCGAAGAACCUUACCAGGUCUUGACAUGUCGCGAAUC